UCCAUGUUAGUGAAUUUCACAUGUGGUUGGGGUGUGGAAUCCUGGUGUUGCUGAAUACUAGCUCCGGUCAACAUUUUGUCUUCAUGGGGAUGCCUUUUUUUUGCCAUACUACCCCGCCAGAAGCCGUUCUUUAGUGAAAAGUUGGAGGGGUUUAAUCUAAAAAUCUUCAACACUAUGUGUUACGUCCCAUGAGAUUGCGAGUCCGCAGCCGAUGUCGGUCUAGUCUACAACGCCGUUUCUUUAUGGAAUCGUGUGGUCCUGGCACGGAGAUCCUUGAGCCAAUGCUGGCUUUUGUCCAUGAGAGAAGAGUGGCUUCCAGCAACAUUCUGCUCCAUCAUUAUCUUCGCGACGUACGAUCAACCAGCUUCCCUGCUUCUUAUGCUAAUACAACUUGUCUUACUUCACUGGCGAGUUGGAUCACUUCAGUGUUCGCUUUCGUCACACCUGCAGUCGAUCGCGACGGGAAUAUGCCCAGGUGAACAGCAACCCGUUGGAUUGGAUUAUCCAUCGAUGAUGGACGGCUUGGCUCUUCCUCACCUUCCUUGUAUUUCU
Long non-coding RNA from Daphnia pulicaria, 552 nucleotides. RefSeq lists it as uncharacterized. The transcript has 3 exons. NCBI's taxonomy places the organism in Eukaryota, Metazoa, Arthropoda, Branchiopoda, Diplostraca, Daphniidae. The record is from RefSeq and is a predicted model, not a curated record.